This is a non-coding RNA of Ailuropoda melanoleuca (giant panda), 73 nucleotides long. The record is from Rfam. Lineage: Eukaryota; Metazoa; Chordata; Mammalia; Carnivora; Ursidae.
ACCUGGCUGGCUCAGUCGGUAGAGCAUGGAACUCUUGAUCUCAGGGUUGUGAGUUCAAGCCCCACAUUGGGCA